This 440-nucleotide ribosomal RNA is filed under the name uncultured bacterium. RNAcentral describes it as "partial 16S ribosomal RNA". It matches the Rfam family "Bacterial small subunit ribosomal RNA", at positions 338 to 795 of the family's 1533-position model. The record is from RNAcentral.
CCUACGGGUGGCUGCAGUGGGGGAUAUUGCACAAUGGGGGAAACCCUGAUGCAGCGACGCCGCGUGUGGGAAGACGGUCCUCUGGAUUGUAAACCACUGUCCCCAGGGACGAAGAUGACGGUACCUGGGGAGGAAGCUCCGGCUAACUACGUGCCAGCAGCCGCGGUAAUACGUAGGGAGCGAGCGUUGUCCGGAAUUACUGGGUGUAAAGGGAGCGUAGGCGGGGAUGCAAGUUGGGUGUCAAAACUACCGGCUCAACUGGUAGUCGCACUCAAAACUGCAGCUCUUGAGUGAAGUAGAGGCAGGCGGAAGUCCUAGGGGAGCGGGGAAAUGCGUAGAUAUUAGGAGGAACACCAGGGGGGAAGGCGGCCUGCUGGGCUUUUACUGACGCUGAGGCUCGAAAGUGUGGGGAGCAAACAGGAUGAGAUACCCUUGUAGUC